RNAcentral lists this ribosomal RNA (524 nucleotides) under uncultured bacterium. RNAcentral describes it as "bacterial SSU rRNA". It matches the Rfam family "Bacterial small subunit ribosomal RNA", at positions 355 to 896 of the family's 1533-position model. The record is from RNAcentral.
UGGGGAAUAUUGGACAAUGGACCAAGAGUCUGAUCCAGCAAUUCUGUGUGCACGAUGAAGUUUUUCGGAAUGUAAAGUGCUUUCAGUUGGGAAGAAAAAAAUGACGGUACCAACAGAAGAAGUGACGGCUAAAUACGUGCCAGCAGCCGCGGUAAUACGUAUGUCACGAGCGUUAUCCGGAUUUAUUGGGCGUAAAGCGCGUCUAGGUGGUUAUGUAAGUCUGAUGUGAAAAUGCAGGGCUCAACUCUGUAUUGCGUUGGAAACUGUAUAACUAGAGUACUGGAGAGGUAAGCGGAACUACAAGUGUAGAGGUGAAAUUCGUAGAUAUUUGUAGGAAUGCCGAUGGGGAAGCCAGCUUACUGGACAGAUACUGACGCUGAAGCGCGAAAGCGUGGGUAGCAAACAGGAUUAGAUACCCUGGUAGUCCACGCCGUAAACGAUGAUUACUAGGUGUUGGGGGUCGAACCUCAGUGCCCAAGCAAACGCGAUAAGUAAUCCGCCUGGGGAGUACGUACGCAAGUAUG